UUUGCUGUCCCGGAUAGCCUUAGCGCCGGACAGCCGGAAGCAGUUACGAACAGAACAGAAACCACAUUGUGCAAACUACAUUACAGGAGUUACUGUUUGUUGGUUCUGUUUUUUUUUUGCACUCUUCAUCCUGCACAUGGUUUUUGUUAGGAAAUGUAUAAGCAAAAGCGUGUGCGGAUGAACCUGCCACUAACUUACAUCAAUUUAAUUUCGACAGCCACUUUUCGCCUGGCAGAGCAUCUAAUCGGAACGUGCAGCUAACAAACAAACUAUUUCCUCUGUCGGGUGGGUUGUGUGUAGUUCAUGCAAGGUUUUGGAGUGCAAGUGCAUAUAGUUUGAUGGCCCGUUUUAGAGAGCAUUAAUUGCUCUGAAAAGUUGUCUGGAACAGCGUAGAAAUUUUAAUGAGAUUAAACAUGAAACUAGGAAAAUCCCCCUUAUUCACGACAGCCUUUUUUUUGGUGUAAAUUUUCCAGUUUAUUCUGACCCAUUGGGCCGAAUGUUACGAGACCUGAGACCAUUGCUAUUUUCAAUCUAAAACAAAUGACAUUUAAAAUCACCUGAUAUAUAGUUAUGUGGCAUUGGACACCAGCACGUGGCACGACACAAUGCUUUACCAUAUUGCAGCGCGACACAUUCCAUCUCUUCUAGUUCCCACGGGCGCGCAUCAUCGGACACCAGCCGGGCCGACAACGCAGACAGCACGGUCGCGCGACAUCGGACACCAGCCGGACGCAGACAGCUCCCUCAAACAUACACCGCCAACCGAGGUAGAAUUAAUGUGAGAGUUUAGUUUUAGUUUAGAACUCAUCGGAGUAACAUUUAAUCUUUUUGAAUAAAAAGCCGCAUAAUAAAUGUACACCGCAUAAUUAUAUACUUAGAUUAACAAUCUUUUUGCAAUGAAUCAUUACUAAAUGUUUUACAAGGAAUAUUCAUUCUUAUGUUUGAAUUAUAAUACUUUUCACUCCAAGUCUGCAAAUCUCUUCUGUAAUUUUCCUAUCGAACCCGGCUACUACUUCACCAGGACCGGUCGGAAGCACUCGAUCGCCUCCCGACUUUUUACCCCGGAGUACGUAGAUGACGUCCAGCAGCAUCUUUUUGUGCUGCUCUUUUCUCAGCAGCGUUGGUGGGCAGCUCACAUAAUGGUGGAAAAUUAUUCCAACGCUUCAGGCGAAGGUGCAAAAGCAACUUCGCACAGUAUCAACAACAGUGGCAGUAGUAGCGCACACGUAAUGCAAAACAAAGCUGCCAACAUUCAGAGAAAUGAAUGUUAUUUUUUUGUUCAACUCAUAUUUCCCCCAAAACCAAAAGCAAAAAGUAUGCAACAUUGACCAUGUCCCUGCUUCGCUGAAGCGCUUUGAUCUCUGCA
Long non-coding RNA from Anopheles gambiae (African malaria mosquito), 1366 nucleotides. RefSeq lists it as uncharacterized. The record is from RefSeq and is a predicted model, not a curated record. The transcript has 2 exons. NCBI's taxonomy places the organism in Eukaryota, Metazoa, Arthropoda, Insecta, Diptera, Culicidae.